Molecule: ribosomal RNA, 905 nt
Filed under: uncultured bacterium
Lineage: Bacteria
Description: bacterial SSU rRNA
Rfam family: Bacterial small subunit ribosomal RNA
Source: RNAcentral
AUCCUGGCUCAGAUUGAACGCUGGCGGCAGGCCUAACACAUGCAAGUCGAGCGGAUGAAGGGAGCUUGCUCCUGGAUUCAGCGGCGGACGGGUGAGUAAUGCCUAGGAAUCUGCCUGGUAGUGGGGGAUAACGUCCGGAAACGGGCGCUAAUACCGCAUACGUCCUGAGGGAGAAAGUGGGGGAUCUUCGGACCUCACGCUAUCAGAUGAGCCUAGGUCGGAUUAGCUAGUUGGUGGGGUAAAGGCCUACCAAGGCGACGAUCCGUAACUGGUCUGAGAGGAUGAUCAGUCACACUGGAACUGAGACACGGUCCAGACUCCUACGGGAGGCAGCAGUGGGGAAUAUUGGACAAUGGGCGAAAGCCUGAUCCAGCCAUGCCGCGUGUGUGAAGAAGGUCUUCGGAUUGUAAAGCACUUUAAGUUGGGAGGAAGGGCAGUAAGUUAAUACCUUGCUGUUUUGACGUUACCAACAGAAUAAGCACCGGCUAACUUCGUGCCAGCAGCCGCGGUAAUACGAAGGGUGCAAGCGUUAAUCGGAAUUACUGGGCGUAAAGCGCGCGUAGGUGGUUCAGCAAGUUGGAUGUGAAAUCCCCGGGCUCAACCUGGGAACUGCAUCCAAAACUACUGAGCUAGAGUACGGUAGAGGGUGGUGGAAUUUCCUGUGUAGCGGUGAAAUGCGUAGAUAUAGGAAGGAACACCAGUGGCGAAGGCGACCACCUGGACUGAUACUGACACUGAGGUGCGAAAGCGUGGGGAGCAAACAGGAUUAGAUACCCUGGUAGUCCACGCCGUAAACGAUGUCGACUAGCCGUUGGGAUCCUUGAGAUCUUAGUGGCGCAGCUAACGCGAUAAGUCGACCGCCUGGGGAGUACGGCCGCAAGGUAAAACUCAAAGGAAUUGACGGU